Molecule: long non-coding RNA, 540 nt
Filed under: Capra hircus (goat)
Lineage: Eukaryota; Metazoa; Chordata; Mammalia; Artiodactyla; Bovidae
Description: lncRNA (ENSCHIG00000000969.1)
Source: RNAcentral
GUGAAUUAAGGUUUCAAUUGGGAGUAAAGCUGCUGAUCAGGUGUAAUUAAGUAAGGAGAUUAGCUUGACUCAUCCAGGUGGACCCAAUGUAAUUACAAGGAUACUUAAAUGUAGAAGGAGGCAGAAGGAUUAGUAUCAAAGUGAGGUGCUUCCUGAGAGGUUUGAGUUGCCAUUUCUGGCUUUCAGGUUGGGGGGAAAAAGCCGCAAGGCAAACACAAUGGGCAGCAAGGCAGCAGAUUCUCCUCAGAACCUCCAAAAGAAGUGCCUUAAUACUUCUGACUUCAGAAAGAGAUGCACAAUCUUCGGAAAAGAGUUUGUUUGCCACCUAUUUGAAGUGCCAACUUCUAUUCUUCUGAGGAUUUUAUUUUCCUAAUGGUAGUUAUCUAAUUUUAUCAAAUGCCUUCUCUAUUCUAAUGAAAUAAUUAUACAGCUUUUCUCCUUUAUUUUGCAGAAGUGGUGAAUUCCAUUGAUUUAUUUUAAUGCCAAGCCCCCUUUGGAUUACUGGUAUUAACUCCAUUUAUUUAAUAUUAUCCUUUUAUA